This is a long non-coding RNA of Apis cerana (Asiatic honeybee), 1735 nucleotides long. RefSeq lists it as uncharacterized. Lineage: Eukaryota; Metazoa; Arthropoda; Insecta; Hymenoptera; Apidae. The record is from RefSeq and is a predicted model, not a curated record.
UCGUGAAUUUGCAUUCAUAAGAGCAACAUGGAAUUUUUCCUACAAACUAUUGGCAUAUUGAAAUCUACUAAAGUGGAUUUCAUUUCUGAAUUGCCAAGUGUUGUGAAAAUACUUGCAAAUCUACAAAUUCAAAAAAAUUUUAAGACAAACUGCAAGACUUCAUAAACGACAAAUAAGAAAAUGAAGGAACAGAUUUUGGGACGAGAUUCACUGUCAUGGAUUGAAUCACAAGGAUAAGGAGUUGAAGAAAGAUAGCAAGUAUAAUGUAGCUGGCAUAAGAUUAGAAACGGUAGUAGUAGUUUUUGGUAACAGAGUUACUGUUAGAAUCCCACCACUGAGAAAUAAAUGAUGAUUUUUCUAUGUAAUUGGUUAUGUACAAAUAAUACUACAGUCGAACGUGAUUAUAUCUUUUUGUCUCGAUGAAAAGAGUAUAUAAAUAUUCAAAUUUUUGGAAAAAUUAUCAAUCGUGAAUCUGCAUGCAUAAGAGCAACAUGGAAUUCUUCAAGAGCUUCCUACAAACUAUUGGCAUAUUGAAACCUACUAAAGUGGAUUUCGUUUCUGAAUUGCCACUGGAAGUAUGACAAAGAAUUAUGUAUCACACACAUAAUUCUUCGCAAUUUGGAUGGAUAAGAGAGUUGAGAAAAAACAGCAAAUAUAGUGUAGUAAGCGUAAGAAACAGUUUUUGGUAUAGAGCUACUGUUAGCAUCCUACCACCGAGAAAUAUGAAUGUAAAUAAUUCUUCAAAUAGAAAAUCUUGUAAAUGUAUUAGAAUAUAAAAUAAUAAUUUAGAUUAUUUUAAUUUAAAAUAAUAUAUAUUUAAUUAAAUACUUUUUGAAAUAAUUAUAACAAAAUAAAAUUUUUAGUUACGUUAAUAAUUAAUUAAAUAAUUUUGACAUCUUAAAAAAUGCUAAGAAAAGUAAAUAAUUGUAUUUAUAAUAACGUGUAUAAAUAUAAAUAAUUUAAGAUUUAUAUUUAUUAAUGACUUUGUGCCAAUGCAUAAUUGUAAAAUUUUUAAUUUAAUUAUUAUUCAAUUGUAAAUUAUAUCUACAUCAUUGUAUGAUUAUUGAUCGAAAUUAGUUAAAUACGAACCUGGAUAACUAGCUCUUUGAGCCUAGUUUUUAUAAGAAAUGACGGGUUCUCAGGACAUGGGACAUUAGCACCGACACGUCAUUAAAUUUCUUUAUUAUACGCUCAUCUGCUCGAAAUCAUGGAAUUCUCGAGCCAAGGUACCGUUUGAAACAAAUAAGUGACUUACCUGUAACGAGAAAAGAAAAAGAUAUUAGAUCGAGCGCAGUGGAAUUAUCUUAGAUUUAAUUAAAUAUUACGAAAAUUUAUACGACUGUAAAUAAUUGGUGUACGUGAAUAAACUUUUUAAGACCUUCAUAACGUUAAGUUCCAUCAUAUAAUUGCAUGAAAAUUAUUCGAGAUUCACACUUUUAUAAUAGUAAAAGUAUUCUGGAAAGUUAAAGCUUUGAAAAUACGAUAUGGAUUCGUCAUUAGUUACAUAAAUCUUAAAGCUAUGAAUAUUGUGGAAAAGAAUGGAAACCGGUUGGUUGUUGCUGUUUUGUUUUAUCUGAUAUGAGUUGUUAGUCUACAGCAAUUUCCACUAUACAUGAUUAUAGGUUAAUGAUAAAUUUAAUUUUGUAUAACAGUUUCAAAUUUGUUAUAUAAGUGUUCACUCUUUUGUGGAAUUGUUAGAAAUUGUAUAAUAAAUAAAUGAAACAAAAAAGAAACG